This 355-nucleotide unclassified non-coding RNA is filed under the name uncultured fungus. Its description in RNAcentral is "partial contains small subunit ribosomal RNA, internal transcribed spacer 1, and 5.8S ribosomal RNA". The stretch from base 1 to 73 matches the Rfam family "Eukaryotic small subunit ribosomal RNA", at positions 1759 to 1831 of the family's 1831-position model. Lineage: Eukaryota; Fungi. The record is from RNAcentral.
ACAAACUUGGUCAUUUAGAGGAAGUAAAAGUCGUAACAAGGUUUCCGUAGGUGAACCUGCGGAAGGAUCAUUCGAAAAUAAUUUCAUUUUCAUGAUACACCCACCUUUGUGCACGUGUAAAUUUCUGUGUUACCCACUAAUUUUGGUGUGACCCAAAGACGAUGCCUUAGAAAUAAGGCAAGCGUUUAGGACCUCAAAAUGAGAUUAUCUCGUUUUUAGAGGGAAGUGCACACCAGAGUGGGCUUAAAUCAACUCGUUAUUAUUAUCUUUAUUGUCUGAACUUGUUUUUUAUCAUAAGAUAAAUACAACUUUCAACAACGGAUCUCUUGGCUCUCGCAUCGAUGAAGAACGCAGC